Macaca mulatta (Rhesus monkey) is the source of this 740-nucleotide non-coding RNA. The record is from RefSeq and is a predicted model, not a curated record. Lineage: Eukaryota; Metazoa; Chordata; Mammalia; Primates; Cercopithecidae.
UAAAAUAAAUAGUGUUGGUAGUGAGGAUAUAGAUGUUUGGGUAGACCGCAAACAGAAUUUGUUUACUUGAGCCUGGAUCACCACCAGUCACUUGAAACUGAAAAAUGUUAUUUCCCUUUAAUUACUUAAUGAAGACAGAAUGUCUGGACCAGUAAUGACCUCCUAAGAUACCGACACUCUGUGAGGUACUAUCUGAAGCAAACAGGCCUUCUUGGGCAUCUCUUUGGCCACAAUAUGGCACCAUACCAGGACUCUGAGGAAGCAGAGGUUCCACAUGGUUUGUUGAAGAUUCGAGGGGAAAACAACAUCUGAACUGAAAAUGCUUAACUCAGAGCUCUCCUCAAAUAGUAAAUACUAUUUCAGGAACUGUUGAUAAGCUUUGGCAAGACGCUGCCCUCAGAAAGAGCCAUGGCAGCUGAGAAAUAGAAAAAGGUUGCCCAGCAUCGAAUUCUUCAAUAUGCUCCAAAUCAGAAGUACACAAUGUCGUAUCAGUCACUGAAAAUGAAAUCUACAAGGUCAGUUUUCCCUGCAUACGGUUUGGCUCUGCUUUCACUUUAACCUAGAUUCCAUCUUUGAGGCUGGAGGUACUGUGUUAAGAUAUAAGUAAACCGGCAGAAGACAAGAAGUCCUUCAACAAGUGUUCUUUAUUACAGUAAAAACCAUCCCAGACAACCCCACCCUAAAAUCACACAUUCGUAUGUCAAAGAGAACUAACAUUAACAGGAACUUGAAAGGAGCGA